Molecule: ribosomal RNA, 492 nt
Filed under: uncultured bacterium
Lineage: Bacteria
Description: partial 16S ribosomal RNA
Rfam family: Bacterial small subunit ribosomal RNA
Source: RNAcentral
AGUGAACGCUGGCGGUAGGCCUAACACAUGCAAGUCGAACGGCAGCACAGUAAGAGCUUGCUCUUACGGGUGGCGAGUGGCGGACGGGUGAGGCAUACAUCGGAAUCUACUUUUUCGUGGGGGAUAACGUAGGGAAACUUUCGCUAAUACCGCAUACGACCUACGGGUGAAAGCAGGGGAUCUUCGGACCUUGCGCGAUUGAAUGAGCCGAUGUCGGAUUAGCUAGUUGGCGGGGUAAAGGCCCACCAAGGCGACGAUCCGUAGCUGGUCUGAGAGGAUGAUCAGCCACACUGGAACUGAGACACGGUCCAGACUCCUACGGGAGGCAGCAGUGGGGAAUAUUGGACAAUGGGCGCAAGCCUGAUCCAGCCAUACCGCGUGGGUGAAGAAGGCCUUCGGGUUGUAAAGCCCUUUUGUUGGGAAAGAAAAGCAGCAGGUUAAUACCCCGCUGUUCUGACGGUACCCAAAGAAUAAGCACCGGCUAACUUCGUG